Molecule: long non-coding RNA, 828 nt
Organism: Metopolophium dirhodum (rose-grain aphid)
Lineage: Eukaryota; Metazoa; Arthropoda; Insecta; Hemiptera; Aphididae
Exons: 2
Source: RefSeq, a predicted model, not a curated record
AAAAAACAGAUAAGAAGAAUUUUGAGCACCCUGAAGUAUGAUAUACAAAAUCUACAUACACGCAUGGAUGUUCUAGAAUUUCUGCUUGAGAAAAUUGAUGGUAAACUUUCUGAACAAUCAAACAUCAUUACUUCAGACAAAGAAGAUAUUUAUAUUAUUGAUAAUGACGAAAAUUUACAUAAAGCAGAAGAUAAAUUAACUAAACAUGCCUUAUACCGAUUUAUUAUGGUAUGCCAGUCAAAUAAAUAAAUAUACAAUCUUUGUACGUGUACAUAUUUUAUUAUUUUAAAGAUCAGAAUUUUGUUUCAUGCAAUACUUUGGCAGACUCUUCAAUGAAAAUAAUGCAAAUACUAUUCAGCGAUUCAUUUUUAAUGAUGUAUUCUUUUAUUGGUUCUAAAGGAAAAAACCAAUUUUCUAUAUGACAAUGUUGCACUGUUAUAUUUGUAAACUAGAUGUCUUUCAAAAAUCUGUCAAAGCAUCUUUACAAGUUAUUUGCAUAAAUGAAGACAGAAAUAAAAUUUUUAAAGAGUACUACACUCAGAAAUUGCAGCUCUUAGAAAAGAUUGCCAUUGCCAAAGAGAGGAAGUUCGCUUUAAUAGAAGCAAACAUAAGUAUUAUAAAUAAAAAUUCAAAUUAAUAAUUCUAUAAGACAAAGAUAUUUAAUUUAAAUUUAAAUUCCUAAUGUUUAAAUGAAAAAACUAAAUAUCAUUAAUUUUUAAUUUGUGAUACAUUUUAUGGUAUAAGACCACUAACUACUAUGAACGUAUACAUUAAAUAUACAUUGUUAAUAAUGUGCUUAUCUAAAUAAAUAAACUAUUGAUGUUUUAA